GUCAGGGUGGCGGCAGCGGAUCUACCCCGUGCAUCAAACUGUCCGCUCUAACAGGCCGAAGCGGUUCCCUGUGAGUAGACUCCUUAAUUGGGGUUGAAAACGCCUACGCAUCAACCACAUGCAUAUGGGACGUCGGCCAAUGCUACUGUGAACAAACCAGCGUGUCCAAAGCAGGCUUGCCUGAAUGUUCGAGCAUGGAAUAACAAGGGAUCAAUUAUCUCGGUUCUUUUUGUUGGUUUUUAGCCCGAGAAGGAGUAAUGCAGGCCACGGUGUCUGAGGUGGGUUUCCCUAGGCUUCGGUUUAGGCCCCAUCUAGGCCGUGUCCUUACGGGAUCAAUAGGGACUGACGGGGUCGUACCUACUUCCGCGUCAGAGGUGAAAUUCUUAGAUCGCGGAAAGAGGAACUUCUGCGAAAGCAUUCGACAAGAAUGUCUUCAUUAAUCAAGAACGAGAGUGUGGGGAUCGAAGAUGAUCAGAUGCCGUCGUAGUCCACACUGUAAACAAUGCCGUCUCAGGAUUGAGAAGUGAACAUAAUGACUUUCACAGCACUAACCCCUGAAACGAGAAAUCAAAUAUUAUGGGUUCAGGGGGGAGUACAUUCGCAAGGCUGGAACUUAAAGGAAUUGACGGAGUGACACCACAAGGCGUGGAGUAUGCGGCUUAAUUGGACUCAACACGGGGAAUUU
Molecule: ribosomal RNA, 685 nt
Filed under: uncultured marine eukaryote
Lineage: Eukaryota
Description: bacterial SSU rRNA
Rfam family: Eukaryotic small subunit ribosomal RNA
Source: RNAcentral